Molecule: long non-coding RNA, 493 nt
Filed under: Pan troglodytes (chimpanzee)
Lineage: Eukaryota; Metazoa; Chordata; Mammalia; Primates; Hominidae
Description: long non-coding RNA NONPTRT005334
Source: RNAcentral
CUAAUCUUUCAUUGGAAGACACUUGGGUGAUGCUAUAGGAUAAUGAAGAUUUCAUCUUCCGUUUGAGGUUACCUCAGAUGUCCAGAUCUUUAGGUCUUUUCUUUUAGGUAAGUUUCCCUUGAGAGGAAUCAUCCAAUCUUCUACCUGGGGUACUGGGUAGAAACCUGGGUUCCAGAAAUCUAGGAACUUGCAAAAGCAUAAUUAAGUCAAGUCAUGGCAAGGUCAUAAGAAGCAGUCACAAAAGCAGCAGUAAUUUGAGUGCGAAUGGCAGUUUUCAUCAUGACUAUGCCUGUUCACAGGGACUCUUUGAAACAGAAGUUUGUUUGGAAGCAUUUCCCAUUCUGCUUGUGGCAGGGCAUGAAAGGGGCACAGAGGCUAUGGAUGCAUUGUUCCCCAGGCCCAGGCUCCUUCCUGGCUGUGUGAUGAUGGGCAAGUUGCUGGCCUCUCCAGUUGUGUCUUUGGAAAAUAGAUGUAAUUGCACCUACCUCAUUGG